UCGGCAAUGGGCGAAAGCCUGACCGAGCGACGCCGCGUGCGGGAUGAAGGUCUUCGGAUUGUAAACCGCUGUCAGAGGGGAUGAAGUCAUAGAGGGAACUCCCUUUAUGUUGACAGAGCCUCAGAGGAAGCACGGGCUAAGUAUGUGCCAGCAGCCGCGGUAAUACAUACUGUGCGAACGUUAUUCGGAUUCACUGGGCUUAAAGGGUGCGUAGGCGGCUUGUUAAGUAGGGUGUGAAAGCCCCCAGCUCAACUGGGGAACUGCACUCUAUACUGGCGAGCUAGAGUGAGAUAGGGGUGUGUGGAACUGCCAGUGGAGCGGUGAAAUGUGUUGAUAUUGGCAGGAACGCCGGUGGCGAAAGCGACACACUGGGUCUCAACUGACGCUGAGGCACGAAAGCCAGGGGAGCGAACGGGAUUAGAUACCCCGGUAGUCCUAGCCCUAAACUAUGGGUACUAGAUUGUGGACUUUCAUGGGUUCACAGUCGAAGCAAAAGUGUUAAGUACCCCGCCUGGGGAGUAUGGUCGCAAGGCUGAAACUCAAAGGA
RNAcentral lists this ribosomal RNA (547 nucleotides) under uncultured bacterium. RNAcentral describes it as "bacterial SSU rRNA". It matches the Rfam family "Bacterial small subunit ribosomal RNA", at positions 365 to 908 of the family's 1533-position model. The record is from RNAcentral.